Molecule: long non-coding RNA, 901 nt
Filed under: Homo sapiens (human)
Lineage: Eukaryota; Metazoa; Chordata; Mammalia; Primates; Hominidae
Description: non-protein coding lnc-PIGU-4:1
Source: RNAcentral
AAGGCCAAGGGCUAGACACCACAGCUCCGGGGCUCAUGGGAACAGAGCAGUUAUCCACAGAGCUGGACAGUAAAACCCCAACGCCCCCAGCACCCACUCUGCUAAAAAUGACCUCUAGCCCUGUGGGCCCGGGCACUGCCUCAGCAGGACCCAGCUUACCUGGCGGUGCUCUCCCCACCAGUGUACGCUCGAUAGUAACCACUCUGGUACCCUCCGAGCUCAUCUCCGCCGUACCGACCACAAAAAGCAAUCAUGGUGGCAUAGCAUCUGAGUCACUUGCGGGUGGCCUAGUGGAGGAGAAGGUGGGAUCCCAUCCAGAACUUCUACCCAGCAUAGGUAUGUACUUGGGGCUUCAUCAUCUCUUUGUGUCAGUUUUUUGAUGACCUAAUCCCACAAGAGAAAGCAUGACUCCUUUUUUACUUGGAGGAAAGAGAAUGGGCUAAAUGGCAAUAGCAGUAGUUUUAUUUAUUGAAAGUACGUUGGAAAAUAUGCUUUUAAAUCCCAUGUUAAGUUUGCAUUCAUUAAAGAGAGCUAAGGGCCAGGUGCGGUGGCUCACGCCUGUAAUCCCAGCACUUUGGGAGGCCGAGGUGAGUGGAUCAGUUGAGGUCAGGAAUUCGAGACCAGCCUGGCCAACAUGGUGAAACUGCAUCUGUACUAAAAAUUCAAAAAUUAGCCAGGCAUGAUGGCACACACCUGUAAUCCCAGCUACUCAGGAGGCUGAGGCAUGAGAAUAGCUUGAACCUGGGAGCAGAGGUUGCAGUGAGCUGAGAUCAUGCCACUGCACUCCAGCCUGGGCAACAGAGCGAGACUCUGUCUGAAAAAAACAAAACAGAGAGCUAAGGCUCUCAAAACAAAGAGUUCCUGAAAUAAUGAUACCUUUCAUUUAUAUAAGUUUUUCAAU